RNAcentral lists this ribosomal RNA (253 nucleotides) under uncultured bacterium. RNAcentral's name for it is "partial 16S ribosomal RNA". It matches the Rfam family "Bacterial small subunit ribosomal RNA", at positions 524 to 776 of the family's 1533-position model. The record is from RNAcentral.
UACGGGGGGAGCAAGCGUUGUUCGGAUUUACUGGGCGUAAAGGGCUCGUAGGCGGUCUGUCGCGUCGGAUGUGAAAACCCAGGGCUCAACCCUGGGCCUGCAUUCGAUACGGGCAGACUAGAGUUCGGUAGGGGAGACUGGAAUUCCUGGUGUAGCGGUGAAAUGCGCAGAUAUCAGGAGGAACACCGGUGGCGAAGGCGGGUCUCUGGGCCGAAACUGACGCUGAGGAGCGAAAGCGUGGGGAGCAAACAGG